Molecule: ribosomal RNA, 395 nt
Filed under: uncultured bacterium
Lineage: Bacteria
Description: bacterial SSU rRNA
Rfam family: Bacterial small subunit ribosomal RNA
Source: RNAcentral
GUGUCAGCAGCCGCGGUAAUACGAACCGUCCAAACGUUAUUCGGAAUCACUGGGCUUAAAGGGUGCGUAGGCGGUCCGGUAAGUUGGGUGUGAAAUCCCUCGGCUCAACCGAGGAAUUGCGCCCAAAACUGCCGGACUUGAGGGAGAUAGAGGUGAGCGGAACUUAGGGUGGAGCGGUGAAAUGCGUUGAUAUCCUAAGGAACACCGGUGGCGAAAGCGGCUCACUGGGUCUCUUCUGACGCUGAGGCACGAAAGCUAGGGUAGCGAACGGGAUUAGAUACCCCGGUAGUCCUAGCCGUAAACGAUGAGCACUAGAUCGGAGGGUCCCCUAUAGCCUUCUGGUCGUAGCGAAAGUGUUAAGUGCUCCGCCUGGGGAGUAUGGUCGCAAGGCUGAA